This 231-nucleotide long non-coding RNA is filed under the name Lathyrus oleraceus (garden pea). RNAcentral's name for it is "Pisum sativum (pea) long non-coding RNA (PSAT_LNC005031)". The record is from RNAcentral. Lineage: Eukaryota; Viridiplantae; Streptophyta; Magnoliopsida; Fabales; Fabaceae.
UAAAUACACGACGUGGGCAUAGGACACGAACUCUCUCAACGUCUCUUCAAUUCUUCUGAGGGCGUGACUUGCGCCAAAAAGCUAGUGGAAUGGUGUGACGCUCGUCACACCAUGUGUGACGCUCGUCACAGGGGUGCUUUUAGUGUGACGCUCGUCACAACCCUUGUGACGCCCGUCACAGGCACAACGUGCGCUUUCUUUGGGCUGGGCUUUGUCUUUGAUAUUUGUUUC